GGGCCCGCACAAGCGGUGGAGUAUGUGGUUUAAUUCGAUGCAACGCGAAGAACCUUACCAGGGUUUGACAUCCUGCGAAUCUCUUGGAAACAGGAGAGUGCCUUCGGGAACGCAGUGACAGGUGGUGCAUGGCUGUCGUCAGCUCGUGUCGUGAGAUGUUGGGUUAAGUCCGGCAACGAGCGCAACCCACAUCCCUAGUUGCCAGCAGUUCGGCUGGGCACUCUAUGGAAACUGCCCGUGAUAAGCGGGAGGAAGGUGUGGAUGACGUCAAGUCCUCAUGGCCCUUACGGGUUGGGCUACACACGUGCUACAAUGGUAGUGACAAUGGGUUAAUCCCAAAAAGCUGUCUCAGUUCGGAUUGGGGUCUGCAACUCGACCCCAUGAAGUCGGAAUCGCUAGUAAUCG
Molecule: ribosomal RNA, 405 nt
Filed under: uncultured bacterium
Lineage: Bacteria
Description: bacterial SSU rRNA
Rfam family: Bacterial small subunit ribosomal RNA
Source: RNAcentral